AGCGAACGUUUGCGGCGGGCUUAACACAUGCAAGUCGAACGGGCUGUUCCUUCGGGGGCAGUCAGUGGCGCACGGGUGCGUAACACGUAGGUAAUCAACCCUCUGGUUGGGGAUAACACUUCGAAAGGAGUGCUAAUACCCGGUAUGGCGCAGCGGUCUUCGGAUCGCGGCGAGAAAGACCCGCAAGGGUUGCCAGAGGACGAGCCUGCGGCCCAUCAGCUAGUUGGCGAGGUAACGGCUCACCAAGGCGAAGACGGGUAGCUGGUCUGAGAGGAUGAUCAGCCACACUGGAACUGAGACACGGUCCAGACUCCUACGGGAGGCAGCAGUGGGGAAUAUUGCGCAAUGGGCGAAAGCCUGACGCAGCCACGCCGCGUGAGCGAUGAAGGCCUCGGUCGUAAGAC
RNAcentral lists this ribosomal RNA (404 nucleotides) under uncultured bacterium. RNAcentral describes it as "bacterial SSU rRNA". It matches the Rfam family "Bacterial small subunit ribosomal RNA", at positions 29 to 431 of the family's 1533-position model. The record is from RNAcentral.